Molecule: ribosomal RNA, 503 nt
Filed under: uncultured bacterium
Lineage: Bacteria
Description: bacterial SSU rRNA
Rfam family: Bacterial small subunit ribosomal RNA
Source: RNAcentral
AGGGUUUGAUUCUGGCUCAGGACGAACGCUGGCGGUGCGCCUUAUGCAUGCAAGUUGAGCGAAGCUUUUCAGUAGUUUACUACAGAAAAUGACUGAGCGGCGAACGGGUGAGUAACGCGUGAGCAAUCUACCUUAGUUACUGGGAUAGCCCGAGGAAACUCGGAUUAAUACCGGAUAUUCUUAUUUUUUCACAUGAAGUUUUAAGGAAAGGUCAGCCGAACUAAGAUGAGCUCGCGUUCUAUCAGCUAGUUGGUGGGGUAAAAGCCUACCAAGGCUACGACGGAUAGCUGGUCUGAGAGGACGAUCAGCCACACUGGGACUGAGACACGGCCCAGACUCCUACGGGAGGCUGCAGCAGGGAAUAUUGCGCAAUGAGCGAAAGCUUGACGCAGCGACACCGCGUGUGGGAUGACGGUUCUAGGAUUGUAAACCACUUUCAGGAGGGAAGAAAAUGACGGUACCUCCACAAGAAGACCCGGCCAACUACGUGCCAGCCGCCGCGA